AAAAGAAGAACUCCAGAAGAUCCUAGGCCUAGUGAUAUAUCAUAGUGAUGCACCAAAAGAAACAUUGGUUGCUCCACCAGAGAAGAGUCCUGUUCAAGAAGGGAAAUAUCCUAUCCCUGAAGGUGCCUGGUACACAGGUGGUUCCAGCAAGGGCAACCCAAGCAGGUGAAGAGCGAUAGCAUACCAUCCCUCCACUGUGACAAUCUGGGACUCAUUUUACUGGUACGAUGAUACAACGCUGGGCAGAAGAAGAGAACAUCAAGUGGUGAUUCCACCUUCCAUAUUAUCCAACGGGGGCAGGCCUCAUUGAAUAUUAUAACAGUAUUCUUAAAGCUACCUUGAAGACAGACUCUCAAUCCCUACAGGGGUGGAUAAAGAUUCUAUGAAACCCUGCGCAACCUGAAUGAAAGACCUCAAGAUGGCAGACCUGGUGCCCUGAAAAUGCUACAGACAACAUGGGCCUCCCCAAUUAGGAUCCAAAUUAUGGGCACUGAUCAUCAGGUGUGGUGUAAGAAGAAAUAAUACUUAUGGAGGCAUAUAUUGUCUUCUGGAGGACUGACUGUGUCACCUGGGCUUACAGUGCAAUGGGACUAUAUGUGAAAGCUGCUUAUUCACAAAUUAGCAGGGAAACAUGUUCCCAGGCUUGCUUUACUAGUGGAGAGCAUGCAGACCAGCAGACAAAGAAGUCAGCUGGUCACUUAAGCUUUGCAGAACUGAUGAUCUCACCCUCUCCUCCUACUGUUACAGAGGGAAGGACUGCUAGGAUUCAACUGGUUGGUUUUAUUGCCUACUCUCAUAACCUAUGAGAGAAGUUAACGCCCAUUCUUCCAUUUAAAUUAAUUUUAAAUAGUGCUGCUUGAAAUUACUAGACAAAAGCCAGCUGAUGAUGACAGCACUUGGGAUUUUUUUUCUCCCUAUGGGAAAAAGAAAACAGCACUGGACAAUUACAUCAGAGCUUUUUAGCAAGGCAUAAAUAAAUCAUGUGAAGAUUACUGAUACUGUUGGUUACUCACAAGCAAUACUUUAGUUCUUAUGUUCCUGAAAAGAAAUAGGUGCCUAAAAGUAUGCAUUUCAAUGAUUCAUCCUGGAUGGUGAUUAUCUGCCUUCUCUGUACUGUUUAACGGUAUGGAAUGAAUCAAUCAUAGAACAAGUUAUUGCUUGAUUCAGUUUUAUUUUUAUAUAAAAGUUGUUACUAACAAACACAAUGAACAAGUUUUUUCACUGUUCAUUUAAUAAUGCAGUUUAAAUUUGCGUGGCAAGCAAAAAAUACUGGAAAAAAAACCUGCUUCUCACUGUUGUGGAGGACAACAUUAUUUUGAUGAUUGGACUGAUUAUUUGUGGAACAGAGACAUAGACACUGAAAAAGUCUACAGGCACAAAAUACCUGUAAGUAAUUUGUGAGAGAAUGAAAGUGGAGAGAAAUAUCAUUUGAAUAAACUAUUUCACAACUC
RNAcentral lists this long non-coding RNA (1451 nucleotides) under Gallus gallus (chicken). RNAcentral's name for it is "lncRNA (ENSGALG00010000931.1)". The record is from RNAcentral. Lineage: Eukaryota; Metazoa; Chordata; Aves; Galliformes; Phasianidae.